RNAcentral lists this ribosomal RNA (253 nucleotides) under uncultured bacterium. RNAcentral's name for it is "partial 16S ribosomal RNA". It matches the Rfam family "Bacterial small subunit ribosomal RNA", at positions 524 to 776 of the family's 1533-position model. The record is from RNAcentral.
UACGUAGGGGGCAAGCGUUGUCCGGAUUUAUUGGGCGUAAAGAGCGUGUAGGCGGCCAGGUAGGUCCGUUGUGAAAACUCGAGGCUUAACCUCGAGACGUCGAUGGAAACCAUCUGGCUAGAGUCCGGAAGAGGAGAGUGGAAUUCCUGGUGUAGCGGUGAAAUGCGCAGAUAUCAGGAAGAACACCCGUGGCGAAGGCGGCUCUCUGGGACGUGACUGACGCUGAGACGCGAAAGCGUGGGUAGCAAACAGG